GGGUGCGAUCAUACCAGCACUAAUGCACCGGAUCCCAUCAGAACUCCGAAGUUAAGCGUGCUUGGGCGAGAGUAGUAAUAAGAAGGGUAGACCUGAGGGAAGUCCUCGUGUUGCACCCC
RNAcentral lists this ribosomal RNA (119 nucleotides) under Erythranthe guttata (spotted monkey flower). Lineage: Eukaryota; Viridiplantae; Streptophyta; Magnoliopsida; Lamiales; Phrymaceae. The record is from RNAcentral.